Arachis duranensis is the source of this 356-nucleotide long non-coding RNA. RefSeq lists it as uncharacterized. The transcript has 3 exons. Lineage: Eukaryota; Viridiplantae; Streptophyta; Magnoliopsida; Fabales; Fabaceae. The record is from RefSeq and is a predicted model, not a curated record.
CAUUUGAGUCUGAAAAUCUUGAUAGUGGUAAUACUGAGAGUACCUCUGGGAUAUCAAUCUUUCAGACUAGUGUAAGAAAAAGACUGCAGGUAUUUUUGCAAUCCUCUGACUUGUAUGAUCCAGAAGAAGUUCUUGACUUGAUUGAAGGGUCAGAGUUAUGGUUAGAAAAGGAAGUUGGAAGACAGUGAGGCUGCUGAGGAGUAUUGUGCUAAAAUUGGCAGACCUGAUGCUUACAUGCAGUUGCUUGAAAUGUAUUUGGAUCCACAAGAUGGUAAGGAGCCCAUGUUUAAUGCUGCUGUUCGCCUUCUCCACAAUCAUGGAGAAUCAUUGGACCCUUUGCAAGUUUUAGAGGUAUU